Molecule: ribosomal RNA, 253 nt
Filed under: uncultured bacterium
Lineage: Bacteria
Description: partial 16S ribosomal RNA
Rfam family: Bacterial small subunit ribosomal RNA
Source: RNAcentral
GACAGAGGGUGCAAACGUUGUUCGGAAUUACUGGGCGUAAAGCGCGUGUAGGCGGCUAUGCAAGUCGGGUGUGAAAGCCCUCAGCUCAACUGAGGAAGUGCGCCCGAAACUGCAGAGCUUGAGUACCGGAGAGGAUGGCGGAAUUCCCCAAGUAGAGGUGAAAUUCGUAGAUAUGGGGAGGAACACCGGUGGCGAAGGCGGCCAUCUGGACGGAUACUGACGCUGAGACGCGAAAGCGUGGGGAGCAAACAGG